Molecule: ribosomal RNA, 714 nt
Filed under: Elizabethkingia sp.
Lineage: Bacteria; Pseudomonadati; Bacteroidota; Flavobacteriia; Flavobacteriales; Weeksellaceae
Description: bacterial SSU rRNA
Rfam family: Bacterial small subunit ribosomal RNA
Source: RNAcentral
UGCAAGCCGAGCGGUAGAUUACUUUCGGGUAAUUGAGAGCGGCGUACGGGUGCGGAACACGUGUGCAACCUGCCUUUAUCAGGGGGAUAGCCUUUCGAAAGGAAGAUUAAUACCCCAUAAUAUAUUAUUCGGCAUCGGGUGAUAUUGAAAACUACGGUGGAUAGAGAUGGGCACGCGCAAGAUUAGCUAGUUGGUGAGGUAACGGCUCACCAAGGCGACGAUCUUUAGGGGGCCUGAGAGGGUGAUCCCCCACACUGGUACUGAGACACGGACCAGACUCCUACGGGAGGCAGCAGUGAGGAAUAUUGGACAAUGGGUGAAAGCCUGAUCCAGCCAUCCCGCGUGCAGGAAGACGGCCCUAUGGGUUGUAAACUGCUUUUAUCUGGGGAUAAACCUACUUACGUGUAAGUAGCUGAAGGUACCAGAAGAAUAAGCACCGGCUAACUCCGUGCCAGCAGCCGCGGUAAUACGGAGGGUGCAAGCGUUAUCCGGAUUUAUUGGGUUUAAAGGGUCCGUAGGCGGACUGAUAAGUCAGUGGUGAAAUCCGACAGCUUAACUGUCGAACUGCCAUUGAUACUGUUAGUCUUGAGUAAGGUUGAAGUGGCUGGAAUAAGUAGUGUAGCGGUGAAAUGCAUAGAUAUUACUUAGAACACCAAUUGCGAAGGCAGGUCACUAAGUCUUAACUGACGCUGAUGGACGAAAGCGUGGGGAGCG